GGGGUCGUCAUUGCAAGGUGAUUCCUCGCUUUCAUCUCGGGAGUCAUUGCCGUAUCCGGCGAGCAACGUAGUAGGACCACCACUGUCUUCACUUGUGUAACUUUCACAGUCUACAUUCAAGUCGAUAUUCAUCUAAUUUUCAAGUUUGAAAAUUAGUCAAUCUGCCAGAAAAAAAAUAUAUAUAUAUAUUAAUAGGACCAAGGCGAACACCAACAUGACAAAUUCGCAACAUAUGAAAACAAGAUAUCCAAAUAAUGUAAAAUACCAUUCAAAAGAUUCUCCGGCGAACAAGCAUGUAAAUUACCCAACAUGUAAAAUAACAAUGAAAACAAAAUUUCAAAAUAAUACGGCAACAUAUACAAACAUUAUAUCCACCCUAUAUAAAAUAAAAUAACAAUUUCACAAACACUUACAGCAAAAGUGAGAGACCCAAAUUAUAAAUACUUAAUAUGCACCAAAAACAAAAAUUUAGGGCUCUUAGCUUAGCUCCAAGGUACACAACACAAAAUUAUUACUCAAAAAUUACCUUCGCCGUCUGUGCUAAAGAUUCUCCGGCGACCGGAAUGUUUGGAAAUAUAUGAAAAACGAAAUUCUGAGAUG
RNAcentral lists this long non-coding RNA (600 nucleotides) under Salvia miltiorrhiza (redroot sage). RNAcentral describes it as "long non-coding RNA (SMIL_LNC005279)". The record is from RNAcentral. Lineage: Eukaryota; Viridiplantae; Streptophyta; Magnoliopsida; Lamiales; Lamiaceae.